CGGAACACGUACAGAACCUUCCUUUAAGCGGGGGAGUAGCCCAUAGAAAUGUGGAUUAAUACCCCAUAGUAAUAUUGACUGGCAUCAGUUGGUAUUUAAAGAUUUAUCACUUAAAGAUGGCUGUGCGGCUGAUUAGGUAGUUGGUGUGGGUAACGGCCCACCAAGCCAUCGAUCAGUAACUGGUGUGAGAGCACGACCAGUCACACGGGCACUGAGACACGGGCCCG
This 227-nucleotide ribosomal RNA is filed under the name uncultured bacterium. RNAcentral's name for it is "partial 16S ribosomal RNA". It matches the Rfam family "Bacterial small subunit ribosomal RNA", at positions 109 to 334 of the family's 1533-position model. The record is from RNAcentral.